Molecule: ribosomal RNA, 1361 nt
Filed under: uncultured bacterium
Lineage: Bacteria
Description: bacterial SSU rRNA
Rfam family: Bacterial small subunit ribosomal RNA
Source: RNAcentral
AUUGAACGCUGGCGGCAGGCCUAACACAUGCAAGUCGAGCGGUAGCACAGAGAGCUUGCUCUCGGGUGACGAGCGGCGGACGGGUGAGUAAUGUCUGGGAAACUGCCUGAUGGAGGGGGAUAACUACUGGAAACGGUAGCUAAUACCGCAUAACGUCGCAAGACCAAAGUGGGGGACCUUCGGGCCUCAUGCCAUCAGAUGUGCCCAGAUGGGAUUAGCUAGUAGGUGGGGUAACGGCUCACCUAGGCGACGAUCCCUAGCUGGUCUGAGAGGAUGACCAGCCACACUGGAACUGAGACACGGUCCAGACUCCUACGGGAGGCAGCAGUGGGGAAUAUUGCACAAUGGGCGCAAGCCUGAUGCAGCCAUGCCGCGUGUGUGAAGAAGGCCUUCGGGUUGUAAAGCACUUUCAGCGGGGAAGAAGGCGGUGAGGUUAAUAACCUUGUCGAUUGACGUUACCCGCAGAAGAAGCACCGGCUAACUCCGUGCCAGCAGCCGCGGUAAUACGGAGGGUGCAAGCGUUAAUCGGAAUUACUGGGCGUAAAGCGCACGCAGGCGGUCUGUCGAGUCGGAUGUGAAAUCCCCGGGCUCAACCUGGGAACUGCAUUCGAAACUGGCAGGCUAGAGUCUUGUAGAGGGGGGUAGAAUUCCAGGUGUAGCGGUGAAAUGCGUAGAGAUCUGGAGGAAUACCGGUGGCGAAGGCGGCCCCCUGGACAAAGACUGACGCUCAGGUGCGAAAGCGUGGGGAGCAAACAGGAUUAGAUACCCUGGUAGUCCACGCCGUAAACGAUGUCGAUUUGGAGGUUGUGCCCUUGAGGCGUGGCUUCCGGAGCUAACGCGUUAAAUCGACCGCCUGGGGAGUACGGCCGCAAGGUUAAAACUCAAAUGAAUUGACGGGGGCCCGCACAAGCGGUGGAGCAUGUGGUUUAAUUCGAUGCAACGCGAAGAACCUUACCUGGUCUUGACAUCCACAGAACUUUCCAGAGAUGGAUUGGUGCCUUCGGGAACUGUGAGACAGGUGCUGCAUGGCUGUCGUCAGCUCGUGUUGUGAAAUGUUGGGUUAAGUCCCGCAACGAGCGCAACCCUUAUCCUUUGUUGCCAGCGGUUAGGCCGGGAACUCAAAGGAGACUGCCAGUGAUAAACUGGAGGAAGGGGGGGAUGACGUCAAGUCAUCAUGGCCCUUACGACCAGGGCUACACACGUGCUACAAUGGCAUAUACAAAGAGAAGCGACCUCGCGAGAGCAAGCGGACCUCAUAAAGUAUGUCGUAGUCCGGAUCGGAGUCUGCAACUCGACUCCAUGAAGUCGGAAUCGCUAGUAAUCGUAGAUCAGAAUGCUACGGUGAAUACGUUCCCGGGCCU